UACGUAGGGUGCGAGCGUUGUCCGGAAUUAUUGGGCGUAAAGGGCUCGUAGGCGGUCUGUCACGUCGGGGGUGAAAACACGGGGCUUAACCUCGUGCCUGCUUCCGAUACGGGCAGACUAGAGGUAUGCAGGGGAGAACGGAAUUCCUGGUGUAGCGGUGGAAUGCGCAGAUAUCAGGAGGAACACCGGUGGCGAAGGCGGGUCUCUGGGCCGUUACUGACGCUGAGGAGCGAAAGCGUGGGGAGCGAACAGG
This 253-nucleotide ribosomal RNA is filed under the name uncultured bacterium. RNAcentral's name for it is "partial 16S ribosomal RNA". It matches the Rfam family "Bacterial small subunit ribosomal RNA", at positions 524 to 776 of the family's 1533-position model. The record is from RNAcentral.